ACACUCCUGCGGGAGGCAGCAGUGGGGAAUAUUGCACAAUGGGCGCAAGCCUGAUGCAGCCAUGCCGCGUGUGUGAAGAAGGCCUUCGGGUUGUAAAGCACUUUCAGCGGGGAGGAAGGCGAUACGGUUAAUAACCGUGUUGAUUGACGUUACCCGCAGAAGAAGCACCGGCUAACUCCGUGCCAGCAGCCGCGGUAAUACGGAGGGUGCAAGCGUUAAUCGGAAUUACUGGGCGUAAAGCGCACGCAGGCGGUCUGUCAAGUCGGAUGUGAAAUCCCCGGGCUCAACCUGGGAACUGCAUUCGAAACUGGCAGGCUUGAGUCUUGUAGAGGGGGGUAGAAUUCCAGGUGUAGCGGUGAAAGGCGUAGAGAUCUGGAGGAAUACCGGUGGCGAAGGCGGCCCCCUGGACAAAGACUGACGCUCGGGUGCGAAAGCGUGGGGAGCAAACAGGAUUAGAAACCCGAGUAGUCCCAUG
Molecule: ribosomal RNA, 475 nt
Filed under: uncultured organism
Description: partial 16S ribosomal RNA
Rfam family: Bacterial small subunit ribosomal RNA
Source: RNAcentral